Molecule: ribosomal RNA, 191 nt
Filed under: uncultured bacterium
Lineage: Bacteria
Description: partial 16S ribosomal RNA
Rfam family: Bacterial small subunit ribosomal RNA
Source: RNAcentral
UCCUACGGGAGGCAGCAGUGAGGAAUAUUGGUCAAUGGGCGCAAGCCUGAACCAGCCAUCCCGCGUGAAGGAUGAAGGUCCUAUGGAUUGUAAACUUCUUUUAUACACCAAGAAAAAGCAGGACGUGUCCUGCCCCGACGGUAGUGUAUGAAUAAGCAUCGGCUAACUCCGUGCCAGCAGCCGCGGUAAUA